Molecule: microRNA precursor, 62 nt
Filed under: Callorhinchus milii (elephant shark)
Lineage: Eukaryota; Metazoa; Chordata; Chondrichthyes; Chimaeriformes; Callorhinchidae
Description: Cmi-Mir-30-P2b_pre stem-loop
Rfam family: mir-30 microRNA precursor family
About the family: This family consists of the mammalian microRNA (miRNA) precursor mir-30a. Animal miRNAs are transcribed as ~70nt precursors and subsequently processed by the Dicer enzyme to give a ~22nt product.
Source: RNAcentral
UGUAAACAUCCUACACUCUCAGCUGUGACUAGUGGAAAAGCUGAGAGGAAGGUGUUUGCUCU